This 429-nucleotide ribosomal RNA is filed under the name Fusobacteriota bacterium. RNAcentral describes it as "Fusobacteria bacterium partial 16S ribosomal RNA". It matches the Rfam family "Bacterial small subunit ribosomal RNA", at positions 355 to 776 of the family's 1533-position model. The record is from RNAcentral. Lineage: Bacteria; Fusobacteriati; Fusobacteriota.
UGGGGAAUAUUGCGCAAUGGGCGAAAGCCUGACGCAGCGACGCCGCGUGAGGGAUGAAGGUUUUCGGAUCGUAAACCUCUGUCAGAAGGGAAGAAACCGCACUGUGCUAAUCAGCAGUGCCUUGACGGUACCUUCAGAGGAACCACCGGCUAACUCCGUGCCAGCAGCCGCGGUAAUACGGAGGGUGCAAGCGUUAAUCGGAAUUACUGGGCGUAAAGCGCACGUAGGCUGCUUUGUAAGUCAGGGGUGAAAUCCCACGGCUCAACCGUGGAACUGCCUUUGAUACUGCUUAGCUUGAAUCCGGGAGAGGGUGGCGGAAUUCCAGGUGUAGGAGUGAAAUCCGUAGAUAUCUGGAGGAACAUCAGUGGCGAAGGCGGCCACCUGGACCGGUAUUGACGCUGAGGUGCGAAAGCGUGGGGAGCAAACAGG